AAAUGUUCAUCCACCUUACUUGGACCGAGAGUAAGCGUCCUACGAGAGAAAAUGUGAGUCAGUGAUUCCUACAACAUCUGUUAAUCUCUACCACUUGGUGCGGAAGACUCGUGAAAGUGGACAUUUCUGUGGCCAUGAUUCAUGUUGUCCGAUGACUGGCCAAGUGGAGAACUUGUUCUGUUGACUGGAGUUUGGAAACAUAUUCCCCAUUUGCAGAUUCCAGACUUGUCCACAGGCACUGCAGUGUGUUACUCAAAAUGCAUGCCGUUUGAAAAGGAAUUUCUUUGUUGUUAGUACUAAUGUCCUUUGGGAUGCCCUAAAAUCAUGCCAGGAGCUCGAUAAAUUGAGGUCUGUCUGCUUUUCUUCUUUCGUAAAGUAUUGCCCCUGAGGUAGCUACGUUCUUC
Long non-coding RNA from Hemiscyllium ocellatum (epaulette shark), 404 nucleotides. RefSeq lists it as uncharacterized. The record is from RefSeq and is a predicted model, not a curated record. The transcript is spliced from 4 exons. NCBI's taxonomy places the organism in Eukaryota, Metazoa, Chordata, Chondrichthyes, Orectolobiformes, Hemiscylliidae.